Larimichthys crocea (large yellow croaker) is the source of this 1387-nucleotide long non-coding RNA. RefSeq lists it as uncharacterized. The transcript has 3 exons. Lineage: Eukaryota; Metazoa; Chordata; Actinopteri; Sciaenidae. The record is from RefSeq and is a predicted model, not a curated record.
AUAUUUAUUAUUAUUUCUUACGUCACUUUUCUCUGUUCUUCUGUAUUUCAUUUAUUUGUUGCCUGUUCCAAUUUUAAUUUAAGGUGAUUUGUUCAUUUUCUAGUUUUAUCUAUAUAUGUUCUUCUCUUUAGUGUGCUGGACCAAAAUUGUCUAUUCUAUUCUAUUCUAUUCUAUUCUAUUCUAUUCUAUUCUAUUCGAUUCGAUCCUUCCUGUUAUUUACUACAUUUUUAGUAUCUCAGUAUCAGGUGCAGUGAGUGACAGUUAUUGGUCUGGUGUCAGUGGCUCAGGCGUUACCUCUCUUUAAGGCUGAUCUCAUUUCCUGCACACUUCCUCUGUGGGGUUAACGGCUGGCAGGCUCAUACACAUCCUGGCUGAGGCACACAGAAGGGAAAACAAAAUAAGAGCCAUUGCUGUCAUGGGAGCUAACAAGUGGAAGAUAGCAUGUAUAGUGACAUUUCAUAGCAUAAUGUCCAGUUAAUUAAAGUGAUAGGUAACAGGUAUCAUGCACUGCUAUACAGCUAUGAUGAUAAUAUGUUUUCUUUAAUUGUCUCCUCCUUGUCAUUUUAUUUUAUUCUUCACUUUUGUAUGUGUCUGUGCCAGCGUUGAGAAAAACACGUGCAGGUUACAGGCUUGUUAAAAUGAGAGUUUUUAUUUAACCUUGUAACCUGUGGCUCAGAAUGUGUGAAACUUAAAAAGAGGUGCAUUUGGUGGUAGUUAUGUGUAGAGUGCUAAAAUUGAUGUUAUUAAUCAAAUUACUUCCUCCAAAAACUUGAAAAUAGGAACCAGAAAGCCUUAUUUUGCUGGCAGUGUCUAAUAGCUUGAGAGGCCCCAUCCUAACUUUGCAGCCUGUGUCUUAAUUAACCUAUUGUUAUAUGUUGUUUUGCACAGAGAGCCUGUAGCUGAUGUUAAAAAGCAGGUGGAAAAUGAAUGACUAACUGGGGGCCCAGAGCAGAGGGAAAGGAAGUGUGAUAAACUAUCCAUGGAAAACAUAAGGGGCCCAUGUCUGACCACUGUAACUGAGUUAUACACUCUGAUGACGCCCAGGAGCUUUUUGAGAAGAUGCUGAUCCACAAAUUCCCAUGGGUUUGGUGGAGUGGACCGGAGCCAGUGGAAAUUGCAAACAAACACUGGAGCUGCUGUGUCUGAUGUGAGCACAAACGACCUCAGACGCCCUCAUUCUCACACAUCACAUCUGUGUGUGCGAUUGUGCAUGUGUUUGGGUGUACGUGAAGGAAAGUAAGAGAAAGUGAGAAAGAGAUUGUGUGUGUGUGUGUGUGUUUGUGUGUGUGUGUGUGCGUGUGAUUGCAAAGCCUAGAAGGCGUUUCAAAGGCACUACAACAUUAGAUUUAUGAGGGCAUUCACAGUAACACUGGCAAUUAAACAAAGA